RNAcentral lists this ribosomal RNA (385 nucleotides) under uncultured bacterium. RNAcentral's name for it is "bacterial SSU rRNA". It matches the Rfam family "Bacterial small subunit ribosomal RNA", at positions 30 to 415 of the family's 1533-position model. The record is from RNAcentral.
AUUGAACGCUGGCGGCAUGCCUUACACAUGCAAGUCGAACGGCAGCACGGGAGCAAUCCUGGUGGCGAGUGGCGAACGGGUGAGUAAUGUAUCGGAACGUACCUUUCAGUGGGGGAUAACGUAGCGAAAGUUACGCUAAUACCGCAUAUUCUGUGAGCAGGAAAGCAGGGGAUCGCAAGACCUUGCGCUGAUUGAGCGGCCGAUAUCAGAUUAGCUAGUUGGUGAGGUAAAGGCUCACCAAGGCGACGAUCUGUAGCGGGUCUGAGAGGAUGAUCCGCCACACUGGGACUGAGACACGGCCCAGACUCCUACGGGAGGCAGCAGUGGGGAAUUUUGGACAAUGGGCGCAAGCCUGAUCCAGCCAUGCCGCGUGAGUGAAGAAGGC